CCUACGGGGGGCAGCAGUGGGGAAUAUUGCACAAUGGGGGAAACCCUGAUGCAGCGACGCCGCGUGAGUGAAGAAGUAUUUCGGUAUGUAAAGCUCUAUCAGCAGGGAAGAAGAAAGACGGUACCUGACUAAGAAGCCCCGGCUAACUACGUGCCAGCAGCCGCGGUAAUACGUAGGGGGCAAGCGUUAUCCGGAUUUACUGGGUGUAAAAGGAGCGUAGACGGCUGUGCAAGUCUGAAGGGAAAGCCCGGGGCUCAACCCUGGGACUGCUUUGGAAACUGUGGAGCUAGAGUGCUGGAGAUGUAAGUGGAAUUCCUAGUGUAGCGGUGAAAUGCGUAGAUAUUAGGAGGAACACCAGUGGCGAAGGCGGCUUACUGGACAGUAACUGACGUUGAGGCUCGAAAGCGUGGGGAGCAAACAGGAUUAGAUACCCGGGUAGUC
Molecule: ribosomal RNA, 441 nt
Filed under: uncultured bacterium
Lineage: Bacteria
Description: partial 16S ribosomal RNA
Rfam family: Bacterial small subunit ribosomal RNA
Source: RNAcentral